GGGGAUGACAGGUUUCGACAGCGUGAUACUGGUGAAGUUUCGCUUCUGUUCGGGAUGGCAACGGUUCCCGCACCCACUGUUGCAAACAAUAUCUGCCACUGCAGAUGUACCGGCGGUCUUCAAGAAGGCGUUCGCGAAUUUCGCGCCCGCCCUUGCAGUCGCCUAGGUUCGCUCUAUGCGAACACGUCUCACUCUGGAUUCUCGCUAAGGAGAUGGGGCGUAAUCAGCGAGGCAGUGUCACCGUCUGAUGUCGCGGUGAUGCGGUCAACCAGGCAUCAUCCCUCGCACUCUUUCUUUGCUCUUCUCUGAAGGGCUGCGAGUACGAGAAGAGCACGACAGUACAAGCAGCUGCGCCACACGUUGGACCCGGGUUCGAUUCCCGGCAUCUCCACCA
This 394-nucleotide transfer-messenger RNA is filed under the name Candidatus Peribacteraceae. RNAcentral's name for it is "Peribacter sp001872575 Standard tmRNA". It matches the Rfam family "transfer-messenger RNA". Rfam says of the family: Bacterial tmRNA, also known as 10Sa RNA or SsrA, is named for its dual tRNA and mRNA-like properties. Its role is to liberate the mRNA from a stalled ribosome. Lineage: Bacteria; Candidatus Peregrinibacteriota; Candidatus Peribacteria; Candidatus Peribacterales. RNAcentral also lists the same sequence under 1 other name. The record is from RNAcentral.